Tigriopus californicus is the source of this 1920-nucleotide long non-coding RNA. RefSeq lists it as uncharacterized. The record is from RefSeq and is a predicted model, not a curated record. NCBI's taxonomy places the organism in Eukaryota, Metazoa, Arthropoda, Copepoda, Harpacticoida, Harpacticidae. The transcript is spliced from 3 exons.
AGGUUUCAAACUUGAAUCGUCAAAUGCCGCACUGUAAAUGGACUUAAGCUUGGAUUCAACGUUUAUGAAGUCUUCCCUAGAAGGCAAAGAAGGUGAGGAAGUAAUCCAUUCUUCUCGCUCUUUCAACAACCAAACAGGCGGAUCAGGGAUUAGUUUGACCUCUUUUGGUUGUGGAAAAUUGGGUCCAACAAUACCCAGGGGCCGACGAGCAUCUAAACUCAGAUACGCGUCGUCAACAUCAUAGCUGACGACUAUUGUUACGUCAUGCGCCUUAUGAUCCUCGUUUAAAGACAAAUUAGCUCGGAACGAACCGACCAAGCUAAGAGAUUGACCAUCAACACCAGAAAUGACGGAGAUUGACGAACGUUGAUCUAGAGUGCACAGAAUUGAAGGCUGACCGACUUGGACGAUUUGUGGGGUGAAACCAUAACGUUGAUGCGUUUCUCGCGCUCACGAGCGGAAGACGAAGCCACUUGGAGAUGUACCCCACCCGCAUGUUUCUCCUCUCUCCUUGAGCUCUUUUGACGGCAGACGGGUUGCCAAUACCCAGUACGACCACACGCAUGGCAAGACGAUUUCAAUGCUGGACAUUCGUCACCAGAGUGGGUCUUAGAAAGACCGCACAGUGGGCACUGCUCGGAUGGUAAAGUCUUGUUAAAAGUCAUCUUACCCGAUUUGCCCCCAUUUUUGUAUUGAGACUUGGGCACAUGGACAACUUGAUCAAGAACCUCCAGGGUUGAAGAUGAAGACUGAUGACUGAAAUCACGCGCACCCCGUCUAGCAGUCUCAAGUUCAAGUAUGCACUUGCAGGCUUCAUUGAAUGUUGAAGGAUUGCGUUCCAUAACCUUGGCCUUAUCGGAGUCAUUCUUCAUCCCCUGUAACAAGAGUGCAAUGACAAGACGAUCCUCGGUGAUCUUGGCGGCGUCUGCAUAAUCUGCCAAUUCUCAAAGGGAGUCAGAGAAAGAUAAAUAAUCCUGACCCUCCUUCUGUCUCACAGCCAAAAGGUCUCGCAUAUCGAGGUGAGUAUUUCGGAGACUGCGAAGGUGCUCCUCAAUUAGGUCCAAAAUCUCGACCAGCGUACGACCUGUAUUGGUUUUGAUCCCAAGUGAAUGUUGGAUGAUACUUCAAAAUCCCGAAGAACAACAUUCCCAGAAGAGUCCAACCUGGGUAAGUUGGUCCCUUUGAUCUAGAUAAAUCAGGAGAGAGUAAUUAUCCCAUAAAGGACGCCACCGUGUGAACACUUUAUGAUCUGUGUCCUCUUGUAGUAACGGAGGUUUCUUCGCAUCUAACCGAGGAAGAGAUAAAGCCUGCCCAGAUUCACGAGUGGGAUGAGGUCGAUUCUCACCCGCUGCUCAGAGCAGUGAAGCUUCGGCAUCACGUUGAAAACCGAUCAAUUUGGAUUGGGCUUUGAAAAGAGCCUCGAGGUGUUCCUCUGCAGCUGGAUCUGCAUCUUUGGAAUCAGAUGAUAGAUGGCAAACGACCUGAUCUUCGGCUUAUUUGGCCACAUUCCUCGCCCGUGAAAGAUCUGCCUUGAAGCCUUUACGACUGGCUUUCAAGACCUGGACGGCCUCACGAUUGGACAUGCUGAAGAUUCAAGACGGGAACCACUGGAAAUCCACAAAUCAACACCACGAUGGCACGGGAUGGAUUGGAUCCAAGGAUGAUCACGUACAAAUAACAGACCACACAACCCGAAGUCUCAGAUCAGGGAUAGCCGUAGACGGAACGUACAUUUAAGAGUUCGUACAGACCGACUGCGCCAUCGCAUGAUCGUAUUGAGUGGACAAAAGCGGAGGACACAUAGAUCGAGUAAAGGUUCAGAUGGAAGUGUAUUUCUCGACAAGACAUGCUCAGAAGUAAACGUCAAUCAUAACUCGCAUGACAACAUCACAACAUACCAAAUAUAUUAUAAUAUUUCAA